UAAAGCAGCAGAAAUUGGCAGCUCUCUGCAAUGCCACAUGAUUGCCCACUGAAGCUAAGCAGGGCUGUACCCGGUCAGUACCUGGAUGGGAGACCACACAGACAAGCUAGGUUGCUGCUGGAA
This 123-nucleotide ribosomal RNA is filed under the name Danio rerio (zebrafish). Lineage: Eukaryota; Metazoa; Chordata; Actinopteri; Cypriniformes; Danionidae. The record is from RNAcentral.